UCGGUUCCGGAAAAAUGACCAAGGCCAAGCCCAACGUGGUCAUAUAAAAUUGACAUUUAAAUAUUUGCGCAGCGGUUGAAUUUAUGGAAAAGACCGAGUGAAAGUCGUUUCCCCCCCCCCCAGUGAAUUUUUUUUUUUUUUUAUCUUGUAAAGCCCCGGGAUGUCUUAGUAGCGGCGAGUGAAGCGGCAAGGCUCAAAUUUGAAAUUGGCGCCAUCGGUGUCCGAGUUGUAAUUUGAAGAUUGUACAUUGGGGUUGGCUCUUGUCUAUGUUUCUUGGAACAGGACGUCACAGAGGGUGAAAUCCCGUGCGAUGAGAUGCCCAAUUCUAUGUAAGGUGCUUUCGGAGAGUCGAGUUGUUUGGGAAUGCAGCUCUAAGUGGGUGGUAAAUUCCAUCUAAAGCUAAAUAUUGGCGAGAGACCGAUAGCGAACCAGUACCGUGAUGGAAAGAUGAAAAAAAACUUGAAAAGAAAAUGAAAAAAGUACGGAAAAUUGUGAAAGGGAAGGGUUUGAGAUCAGACUCGAUAUUUUGUGAGCCUUGCCUUCGGGGCCGGGGUGACCCGCAGCUUAUCGGGCCAGCAUCGGUUUGGGCGGUAGGAUAAUGGCGUAGGAAUGUGACUUUACUUCGGUGAAGU
RNAcentral lists this ribosomal RNA (632 nucleotides) under Meyerozyma guilliermondii. RNAcentral describes it as "partial 26S ribosomal RNA". It matches the Rfam family "Eukaryotic large subunit ribosomal RNA", at positions 1 to 555 of the family's 3401-position model. The record is from RNAcentral. Lineage: Eukaryota; Fungi; Ascomycota; Pichiomycetes; Serinales; Debaryomycetaceae.